CCUACGGGAGGCAGCAGUGGGGAAUCUUAGACAAUGGGGGCAACCCUGAUCUAGCCAUGCCGCGUGAGUGAUGAAGGCCUUAGGGUCGUAAAGCUCUUUCGCCUGUGAUGAUAAUGACAGUAGCAGGUAAAGAAACCCCGGCUAACUCCGUGCCAGCAGCCGCGGUAAUACGGAGGGGGUUAGCGUUGUUCGGAAUUACUGGGCGUAAAGCGCGCGUAGGCGGAUUAGAAAGUUGGGGGUGAAAUCCCGGGGCUCAACCCCGGAACUGCCUCCAAAACUGCUAGUCUAGAGUUCGAGAGAGGUGAGUGGAAUUCCGAGUGUAGAGGUGAAAUUCGUAGAUAUUCGGAGGAACACCAGUGGCGAAGGCGGCUCACUGGCUCGAUACUGACGCUGAGGUGCGAAAGUGUGGGGAGCAAACAGGAUUAGAUACCCUGGUAGUCCACACCGUAAACGAUGAAUGCCAGUCGUCGGAUAGUAUACUAUUCGGUGACACACCUAACGGAUUAAGCAUUCCGCCUGGGGAGUACGGUCGCAAGAUUAAAACUCAAAGGAAUUGACGGA
RNAcentral lists this ribosomal RNA (561 nucleotides) under uncultured bacterium. RNAcentral's name for it is "bacterial SSU rRNA". It matches the Rfam family "Bacterial small subunit ribosomal RNA", at positions 338 to 917 of the family's 1533-position model. The record is from RNAcentral.